UACGUAGGGGGCAAGCGUUGUCCGGAAUUAUUGGGCGUAAAGAGCGUGUAGGCGGUCCGGUAAGUCAGCUGUGAAAGUCAAGGGCUCAACCCUUGAAUGCCGGUUGAUACUGUCGGGCUAGAGUCCGGAAGAGGCGAGUGGAAUUCCCGGUGUAGCGGUGAAAUGCGCAGAUAUCGGGAGGAACACCAAUGGCGAAGGCAGCUCGCUGGGACGGUACUGACGCUGAGAAGCGAAAGCGUGGGGAGCGAACAGG
This 253-nucleotide ribosomal RNA is filed under the name uncultured bacterium. Its description in RNAcentral is "partial 16S ribosomal RNA". It matches the Rfam family "Bacterial small subunit ribosomal RNA", at positions 524 to 776 of the family's 1533-position model. The record is from RNAcentral.